RNAcentral lists this ribosomal RNA (1338 nucleotides) under Escherichia coli. Its description in RNAcentral is "partial 23S ribosomal RNA". It matches the Rfam family "Bacterial large subunit ribosomal RNA", at positions 375 to 1720 of the family's 2925-position model. Lineage: Bacteria; Pseudomonadati; Pseudomonadota; Gammaproteobacteria; Enterobacterales; Enterobacteriaceae. The record is from RNAcentral.
GUACACAAAAAUGCACAUAUUGUGAGCUCGAUGAGUAGGGCGGGACACGUGGUAUCCUGUCUGAAUAUGGGGGGACCAUCCUCCAAGGCUAAAUACUCCUGACUGACCGAUAGUGAACCAGUACCGUGAGGGAAAGGCGAAAAGAACCCCGGCGAGGGGAGUGAAAAAGAACCUGAAACCGUGUACGUACAAGCAGUGGGAGCCUCUUAAUGGGGUGACUGCGUACCUUUUGUAUAAUGGGUCAGCGACUUAUAUUCUGUAGCAAGGUUAACCGAAUAGGGGAGCCGAAGGGAAACCGAGUCUUAACUGGGCGUUAAGUUGCAGGGUAUAGACCCGAAACCCGGUGAUCUAGCCAUGGGCAGGUUGAAGGUUGGGUAACACUAACUGGAGGACCGAACCGACUAAUGUUGAAAAAUUAGCGGAUGACUUGUGGCUGGGGGUGAAAGGCCAAUCAAACCGGGAGAUAGCUGGUUCUCCCCGAAAGCUAUUUAGGUAGCGCCUCGUGAAUUCAUCUCCGGGGGUAGAGCACUGUUUCGGCAAGGGGGUCAUCCCGACUUACCAACCCGAUGCAAACUGCGAAUACCGGAGAAUGUUAUCACGGGAGACACACGGCGGGUGCUAACGUCCGUCGUGAAGAGGGAAACAACCCAGACCGCCAGCUAAGGUCCCAAAGUCAUGGUUAAGUGGGAAACGAUGUGGGAAGGCCCAGACAGCCAGGAUGUUGGCUUAGAAGCAGCCAUCAUUUAAAGAAAGCGUAAUAGCUCACUGGUCGAGUCGGCCUGCGCGGAAGAUGUAACGGGGCUAAACCAUGCACCGAAGCUGCGGCAGCGACACUAUGUGUUGUUGGGUAGGGGAGCGUUCUGUAAGCCUGUGAAGGUGGCCUGUGAGGGUUGCUGGAGGUAUCAGAAGUGCGAAUGCUGACAUAAGUAACGAUAAAGCGGGUGAAAAGCCCGCUCGCCGGAAGACCAAGGGUUCCUGUCCAACGUUAAUCGGGGCAGGGUGAGUCGACCCCUAAGGCGAGGCCGAAAGGCGUAGUCGAUGGGAAACAGGUUAAUAUUCCUGUACUUGGUGUUACUGCGAAGGGGGGACGGAGAAGGCUAUGUUGGCCGGGCGACGGUUGUCCCGGUUUAAGCGUGUAGGCUGGUUUUCCAGGCAAAUCCGGAAAACCAAGGCUGAGGCGUGAUGACGAAGCACUACGGUGCUGAAGCGACAAAUGCCCUGCUUCCAGGAAAAGCCUCUAAGCAUCAGGUAACAUCAAAUCGUACCCCAAACCGACACAGGUGGUCAGGUAGAGAAUACCAAGGCGCUUGAGAGAACUCGGGUGAAGGAACUAGGCAA